GUGUUUGCUUCAGCAGCACAUAUAUUAAAAUUAACAAUACAGAGGAGAUUAGCAUGGCCUCUGUACAAGGAUGAUAUGAAAUUUGUGAUGAGUUUU
Small nuclear RNA from Nomascus leucogenys (northern white-cheeked gibbon), 96 nucleotides. NCBI's taxonomy places the organism in Eukaryota, Metazoa, Chordata, Mammalia, Primates, Hylobatidae. The record is from Ensembl.